CGUAACGCGUAUGCAACCUACCUUGUACUGGGGAAUAGCCCGUGGAAACAUGGAUUAAUACCCCAUAAUUUUAUCUAAUCACCUGGUUGGAUAAUAAAGUUUCGACGGUACAAGACGGGCAUGCGUAUGAUUAGCUAGAUGGUGAGGUAAUGGCUCACCAUGGCAACGAUCAUUAGCGGGUCUGAGAGGAUGAUCCGCCACACUGGUACUGAGACACGGACCAG
This 224-nucleotide ribosomal RNA is filed under the name uncultured bacterium. Its description in RNAcentral is "partial 16S ribosomal RNA". It matches the Rfam family "Bacterial small subunit ribosomal RNA", at positions 109 to 334 of the family's 1533-position model. The record is from RNAcentral.